Molecule: long non-coding RNA, 1215 nt
Filed under: Triticum aestivum (bread wheat)
Lineage: Eukaryota; Viridiplantae; Streptophyta; Magnoliopsida; Poales; Poaceae
Description: long non-coding RNA (TAES_LNC018297)
Source: RNAcentral
UUUAUGUGAUUAUAAAUUAUCAAAUGUAACAGUGACCAUAAAUCAAUGGAUUAUGACAUGUUUAAUCAUAGAAUAUCAAUUGCUAGCCAACAUUUGGAUGUUAAAAAACAUUAAUCAUGAGCCAAAUAAACAGGGAAGUGGAUUUCAUGAAUUUUUUCAUCAAACUGCAUGAGCAAAAUAGCUUGUCAUGUAACCUUACACCUCUAGUCCAUGAUUCCUUCGAAAUGUUCUCCCCUGAAAUGGACAAAGAGAUAGUAAAUGAUUUGCAUGCUUUAUCAAAGGUAACACCUGUUGGGCAUGAAAAACAUAACCAUUUUUCAGUGUCAGGAAUGGCAACAUCAUUUGACAUUUAUGUUUCUCCUUAGAAAUAUCAAGGCUAGUAGGACGUUGAAGUAGCUAAAUAAUGGACGGUGAAUGAAAUCAAAUCCUGCGCUGUAGGCAGAAUUAAACUACGAGAUAAUAUUAUCAAUGGCAAAUGAUAGCCAUUAUUAGAUAAGAACUGCCAGAUAGCAGAAAUAAGAAAAAUCCUCUUUGCAAUCAGGAGAAGCAGAGCCAAAUCAACAGAGUAACACAUAUGUAACUCUGUUAUACUUCUGAAUAUAUAUAGUGAGCAUUUCAUUAAGCAAAUAAUUAGCAUAUUUGAAUAUUAUAACUGAUAUAGUUGGUUUCCAACUAUCAAAUAUUUUCUCUCGAUCCUUUUUUUUGCUGAACUAGAUGUACUAUUCAUGCAAUCAUGCUCAUAACAAAAGAUACAUUAUUGUUCUAUUCUCUAAUUCACUAAGGUAAUGAAGAAAUUUCAAGUAAAAUAUGUUCUGUGAUCUUUUAUUUUUUUAUUUUCCGGGUGAAACAUAACAUGCUAUGUGAUUGUUGGAUACACGGAUGCAAUCAAAACAUUGCGCCAAUUUCGUGUCCCCUGUCUAUCGGAUUUUACUUGGUUGUGUGAUGUGAAAAUUCUGAACAUGUUAUCAGUUUUCUACUAACUUCGAAUCUUAAUUCCAUUUUUGUUUGAAUGCAGGGGCACAGGUGCGGCUGUGGGCAGUGGCUAGACCAAUUUGUACUACUUGCCAGAAAGCAGCAACUACAAACAGACAAGGGAGGCGGCUAGACAGACCUGUAUGAUCGCAUCACUUGAGAUCAAGUGGAGUGAGUCCAAUAAAUAGCACUCGGGCAUGAAACGUCAGAGGUGGAAUCGUUAGCUGGUAGCUCCAAGGCAAC